Molecule: ribosomal RNA, 447 nt
Filed under: uncultured bacterium
Lineage: Bacteria
Description: bacterial SSU rRNA
Rfam family: Bacterial small subunit ribosomal RNA
Source: RNAcentral
CGCCCAGACUCCUACGGGAGGCAGCAGUGGGGAAUAUUGCACAAUGGGGGAAACCCUGAUGCAGCGACGCCGCGUGAGCGAUGAAGUAUUUCGGUAUGUAAAGCUCUAUCAGCAGGGAAGAAGAUGACGGUACCUGACUAAGAAGCCCCGGCUAACUACGUGCCAGCAGCCGCGGUAAUACGUAGGGGGCAAGCGUUAUCCGGAUUUACUGGGUGUAAAGGGAGCGUAGACGGCGGCGCAAGCCAGAUGUGAAAGCCCGGGGCUCAACUCCGGGACUGCAUUUGGAACUGUGUGGCUGGAGUGUCGGAGAGGCAGGCGGAAUUCCUAGUGUAGCGGUGAAAUGCGUAGAUAUUAGGAGGAACACCAGUGGCGAAGGCGGCCUGCUGGACGAUGACUGACGUUGAGGCUCGAAAGCGUGGGGAGCAAACAGGAUUAGAUACCCCAGUA